AGUCGAGCGGUAGCACAGGGGAAGCUUGCUCUCCUGGGUGACGAGCGGCGGACGGGUGAGUAAUGUCUGGGAAACUGCCUGAUGGAGGGGGAUAACUACUGGAAACGGUAGCUAAUACCGCAUAACGUCGCAAGACCAAAGAGGGGGACCUUCGGGCCUCUUGCCAUCAGAUGUGCCCAGAUGGGAUUAGCUAGUAGGUGGGGUAAUGGCUCACCUAGGCGACGAUCCCUAGCUGGUCUGAAAGGAUGACCAGCCACA
RNAcentral lists this ribosomal RNA (258 nucleotides) under Serratia marcescens. RNAcentral describes it as "partial 16S ribosomal RNA". It matches the Rfam family "Bacterial small subunit ribosomal RNA", at positions 60 to 312 of the family's 1533-position model. Lineage: Bacteria; Pseudomonadati; Pseudomonadota; Gammaproteobacteria; Enterobacterales; Yersiniaceae. The record is from RNAcentral.